GUGGGGAAUCUUGCGCAAUGGGGGAAACCCUGACGCAGCGACGCCGCGUGGAGGAUGAAGGUCUUCGGGUUGUAAACUCCUUUUCUUGGGGACAAUAGUGAUGGUACCCAAGGAAUAAGCCACGGCUAACUCUGUGCCAGCAGCCGCGGUAAGACAGAGGUGGCGAGCGUUGUUCGGAAUUACUGGGCUUAAAGGGCGAGUAGGCGGUGGGACAAGUCUGAGGUGGAAUCCUACGGCUUAACUGUAGAAUUGCCUUAGAGACUGUUUUACUUGAGUCAGUGAGGGGAGGGCGGAAUUCCCGGUGUAGCGGUGAAAUGCGUAGAUAUCGGGAGGAAGGCCGGUGGCGAAGGCGGCCCUCUGGCACUGUACUGACGCUGAGGCGCGAAAGCGUGGGGAGCAAACAGGAUUAGAUACCCCGGUAGUCC
This 425-nucleotide ribosomal RNA is filed under the name uncultured bacterium. Its description in RNAcentral is "bacterial SSU rRNA". It matches the Rfam family "Bacterial small subunit ribosomal RNA", at positions 354 to 796 of the family's 1533-position model. The record is from RNAcentral.